Molecule: ribosomal RNA, 1352 nt
Filed under: metagenome
Description: SSU rRNA
Rfam family: Eukaryotic small subunit ribosomal RNA
Source: RNAcentral
UAGCAUGAGAAACGGCUACCACAUCUAAAGAAGGCAGCAGGCGCGUAAAUUACCCAAUCCUGACUCAGGGAGGUAGUGACAAGAAAUAGCAAACCGGGAACCUCAUGGUUUCACGGUAUUGCAAUGAGAACAAUUUAAAACCCUUAGCGAGAUUCAAGUGGAGGACAAGUCUGGUGCCAGCACCCGCGGUAAUUCCAGCUCCACUAGCGUAUAUUAAAGUUGUUGCAGUUAAAAAGCUCGUAGUUGAACCUCUGUCUGGGGCUAGUUUUGGCUUUGGUCAGGCUAGUUCUAGGCAUCCGCCUACAAGACUUAGAGGGCAUUCAGUUGUUCACUAGGAGGAGUAGGCAUUUUACUUUGAAAAAAUUAGAGUGUUUAAGGCAGGCAAUCGCCCGCAUAUAUUAGCAUGGAAUAAUAGAAUAGGACACUUUUCCAUUUCGUUGGUUAUUGGAAUCGUGUAAUGAUUAAUAGGGACAGUUGUGGGCAUUUGUAUUUAAUUGUCAGAGGUGAAAUUCUUGGAUUUAUUAAAGACAAACUAACGCGAAAGCAUUUGCCAAGGAUGUUUUCAUUAAUCAAGAACGAAAGUUAGGGGAUCAAAGACGAUCAGAUACCGUCCUAGUCUUAACUAUAAACUAUUCCGACUCAAUGUUUGACUGGCUUAUAUAACCAGUUGAGCGUUGUAUGAGAAAUCAAAGUCUUUAGGUUCUGGGGGGAGUAUGGUUGCAAAGCUGAAACUUAAAGGAAUUGACGGAAGAGCACAACCAGGAGUGGAUUCUGCGGCUUAAUUUGACUCAACACGGGGAAACUUACCAGGUUAAAACAAUAGUGGGAUUGACAGUUUGAGAGCGCUUUCUUGAUUGGUUGGGUGGUGGUGCAUGGCCGUUCUUAGUUGGUGGAGUGAUUUGUCUGCUUAAUUGCGUUAACGAACGAGACCUUAACCUGCUUACUAGACUGGCGAUCAUCAAUCGUUAGCUCUUCUUAGAGGGACUUUGGUUGUUUUAACUCCAAGGAAGUUUGAGGCAAUAACAGGUCUGUGAUGCCCUUAGAUAUCCUGGGCCGCACGCGUCAUACAAUGACUAGUUCAGAAAGUUUUCUCCUGACCCGAAAGGGGAUGGGUAAUCUUGAUAAUACUAGUCGUGUUAGGGAUCGAUCUUUGCAAUUAUAGAUCUUGAACGAGGAAUUCCUAGUAAGUGCGGUUCAUCAGACCGUACUGAUUACGUCCCUGCUCUUUGUACACACCGCCCGUCGCUUCUACCGAGUGGGUGGUCCGGUGAGAUAAUUGAACUUCGCAGGUAACUGAGAGGAAAGAUUAUCAAACCUAUCCACCUCGAGGAAGAAGAAGUCGUAACAAGGUU